GCAGGGAUGGUGUUAACGGCAGCACAGGGGUCUCCAAAGCCUUUGGUCUGGGUUCAAAUCCUAGUCUCUGCG
This 72-nucleotide transfer RNA is filed under the name Phormidium sp. Its description in RNAcentral is "tRNA-Trp". It matches the Rfam family "tRNA". Rfam says of the family: Transfer RNA (tRNA) molecules are approximately 80 nucleotides in length. Their secondary structure includes four short double-helical elements and three loops (D, anti-codon, and T loops). RNAcentral also lists the same sequence under 3 other names. Lineage: Bacteria; Bacillati; Cyanobacteriota; Cyanophyceae; Oscillatoriales; Oscillatoriaceae. The record is from RNAcentral.